RNAcentral lists this ribosomal RNA (646 nucleotides) under Lactarius pseudomucidus. RNAcentral describes it as "eukaryotic LSU rRNA". It matches the Rfam family "Eukaryotic large subunit ribosomal RNA", at positions 1 to 605 of the family's 3401-position model. Lineage: Eukaryota; Fungi; Basidiomycota; Agaricomycetes; Russulales; Russulaceae. The record is from RNAcentral.
UGACCUCAAAUCGGGUGAGACUACCCGCUGAACUUAAGCAUAUCAAUAAGCGGAGGAAAAGAAACUAACAAGGAUUCCCCUAGUAACUGCGAGUGAAGCGGGAAAAGCUCAAAUUUAAAAUCUGGCGGUCUUUGGCCGUCCGAGUUGUAAUUUAGAGAAGCGUCUUCCGCGCCGGACCGUGCACAAGUCUCCUGGAAUGGAGCGUCAUAGAGGGUGAGAAUCCCGUCUUUGGCACGGAUGCCCGGUGCUUCUGUGAUGCGCUCUCGAAGAGUCGAGUUGUUUGGGAAUGCAGCUCAAAAUGGGUGGUGAACUCCAUCUAAAGCUAAAUAUUGGCGAGAGACCGAUAGCGAACAAGUACCGUGAGGGAAAGAUGAAAAGCACUUUGGAAAGAGAGUGAAACAGUACGUGAAAUUGUUGAAAGGGAAACGCUUGAAGUCAGUCGCGUCGACCGAGACUCAGCCUUGCCUCGGCUUGGUGUACUUCUCGGCCCGACGGGUCAGCGUCAAUUUUGCCCCUCGGAUAAUGGCAAGGGAAAGGUGGCACCUUUGCGGGUGUGUUAUAGUCUCCUGUCGCAUGCGAGGGGUGGGAUUGAGGAACUCAGCGCGCACCUUGGUGUCGGGGCUUCUGCCCACGUCACGCGCUAGGA